AGAGUUUGAUCCUGGCUCAGAUUGAACGCUGGCGGCAGGCCUAACACAUGCAAGUGGAGCGGCACGAGUCCUUCGGGAUGCCGGCGAGCGGCGGACGGGUGAGUAAUGCCUAGGAAUCUGCCUGGUAGUGGGGGACAACGUAUCGAAAGGGACGCUAAUACCGCAUACGUCCUACGGGAGAAAGUGGGGGAUCUUCGGACCUCACGCUAUCAGAUGAGCCUAGGUCGGAUUAGCUAGUUGGUGAGGUAAUGGCUCACCAAGGCGACGAUCCGUAACUGGUCUGAGAGGAUGAUCAGUCACACUGGAACUGAGACACGGUCCAGACUCCUACGGGAGGCAGCAGUGGGGAAUAUUGGACAAUGGGCGAAAGCCUGAUCCAUCCAUGCCGCGUGUGUGAAGAAGGUCUUCGGAUUGUAAAGCACUUUAAGUUGGGAGGAAGGGCAUUAACCUAAUACGUUAGUGUUUUGACGUUACCGACAGAAUAAGCACCGGCUAACUCUGUGCUAGCAGCCGCGGUAAUACAGAGGGUGCAAGCGUUAAUCGGAAUUACUGGGCGUAAAGCGCGCGUAGGUGGUUCAGCAAGUUGGAGGUGAAAUCCCCGGGCUCAACCUGGGAACUGCCUCCAAAACUACUGGGCUAGAGUAUGGUAGAGGGUGGUGGAAUUUCCUGUGUAGCGGUGAAAUGCGUAGAUAUAGGAAGGAACACCAGUGGCGAAGGCGACCACCUGGACUAAUACUGACACUGAGGUGCGAAAGCGUGGGGAGCAAACAGGAUUAGAUACCCUGGUAGUCCACGCCGUAAACGAUGUCGACUAGCCGUUGGGAUCCUUGAGAUCUUAGUGGCGCACUAACGCGAUAAGUCGACCGCCUGGGGAGUACGGCCGCAAAGUUAAAACUCAAAUGAAUUGACGGGGGCCGCACAAGCGGUGGAGCAUGUGGUUUAAUUCGAACAACGCGA
RNAcentral lists this ribosomal RNA (957 nucleotides) under Pseudomonas sp. PJ311. Its description in RNAcentral is "bacterial SSU rRNA". It matches the Rfam family "Bacterial small subunit ribosomal RNA", at positions 8 to 964 of the family's 1533-position model. Lineage: Bacteria; Pseudomonadati; Pseudomonadota; Gammaproteobacteria; Pseudomonadales; Pseudomonadaceae. The record is from RNAcentral.